RNAcentral lists this ribosomal RNA (431 nucleotides) under uncultured bacterium. Its description in RNAcentral is "bacterial SSU rRNA". It matches the Rfam family "Bacterial small subunit ribosomal RNA", at positions 29 to 507 of the family's 1533-position model. The record is from RNAcentral.
AACGAACGCUGGCGGCAUGCCUAACACAUGCAAGUCGAACGAACCCUUCGGGGUUAGUGGCGCACGGGUGCGUAACGCGUGGGGAUCUGCCCUUUGCUUCGGAAUAACAGUUAGAAAUGACUGCUAAUACCGGAUGAUGUCGCAAGACCAAAGAUUUAUCGGCAAAGGAUGAACCCGCGUAGGAUUAGCUAGUUGGUGGGUAAAGGCCUACCAAGGCGACGAUCCUUAGCUGGUCUGAGAGGAUGAUCAGCCACACUGGGACUGAGACACGGCCCAGACUCCUACGGGAGGCAGCAGUGGGGAAUAUUGGACAAUGGGCGAAAGCCUGAUCCAGCAAUGCCGCGUGAGUGAUGAAGGCCUCGGGUUGUAAAGCUCUUUACCAGGGAUGAUAAUGACAGUACCUGGAGAAUAAGACUCCGGCUAACUCCGUG